This 326-nucleotide unclassified non-coding RNA is filed under the name soil metagenome. Its description in RNAcentral is "partial contains 5.8S ribosomal RNA, internal transcribed spacer 2, and large subunit ribosomal RNA". The stretch from base 1 to 120 matches the Rfam family "5.8S ribosomal RNA", at positions 35 to 154 of the family's 154-position model. The record is from RNAcentral.
GAUGAAGAACGUAGCGAAAUGCGAUAAGUAAUGUGAAUUGCAGAAUUCAGUGAAUCAUCGAAUCUUUGAACGCACAUUGCGCCCCUUGGUAUUCCGAGGGGCAUGCCUGUUCGAGCGUCAUAUUAACCACUCCCGCUUGCGGGGUCUUGGGCUUCGCCUCCGGGCGGGCCUUAAAAUCAGUGGAGGUGCCGUCGGGCUCUACGCGUAGUAAAUUUUCUCGCGAUAGGGUCCCGGUGGAUGCUUGCCAACAACCCCCAACUUCUUAAGGUUGACCUCGGAUCAGGUAGGGAUACCCGCUGAACUUAAGCAUAUCAAUAAGCGGAGGA